RNAcentral lists this long non-coding RNA (5814 nucleotides) under Homo sapiens (human). RNAcentral's name for it is "HSALNT0193724". Lineage: Eukaryota; Metazoa; Chordata; Mammalia; Primates; Hominidae. The record is from RNAcentral.
UUUUCUUUGACUUGAUUACUGCUUCAUGCUAAAGAAAAAAAUCCCUUCAAUUUAUCUUUCCUUCUCUGAGACCCGAUGAAUGACUAUUACCAUGUUAAAUCAUUCACCUGUGUAAAGCAAAGAUUUUUAUUUAUGUCUCUGAUGUUUGUUCUUUAAUAUCUUUAGAAAGACAUAAAAUUUGUAUUAAACUCUAAGUGGGGACUUGCACUGUAAACAAGGAUCGGUAGAUUUUCCCUUUCUUGUUUGCCAUAUUUAAUUCAACCCUGGAAGCCUGGUGCACGCAUCAUUUCCUCCUCAUCUCUGUUUCACUGUUGAGUGAAGUGUUCUGAAUUAAUUUUGUUAAAUUAUUAAUAGUUCAUGAUUGGAAAACAUUCAGCAUUGGAAUUUAUGUUUCAUCAUGCACUGCACAGCAAUUGGGUAGAUUUCAUACAUGCAAAUGGAUAUGCUUCUACUGGUUGGGUGUAAUGUUAGCUUCCACUCCAGCCUAUCCGCAAUGAAUUUUUGUUAAGACCAAAUUAAUAAUGAAGUAGAUAUUUUAGUUUUAAUGCAAUCAGGACAGUUUCCUGGAAAUCAAAUGAUUAGAUAUAGAGCAUGGAUUGGAUCAUUCAUUUUUUUCAACAGAAAUAUGCUACUUUGGAGGCUAAGGUGAGAGAAUUGCCUGAGCCCAGGAGGUUGAGGUUGCAGUGAGCUGUGAUCGUGCCACUGCACUCCAGCCUGGGCAACAGAGUGAGACCCUGUCUCAAAAACAAACAAAAAAAUGCCAGGCACUAACUAUGUGUUAGGCACUGGGAAUACAACAGGGUGUAAAAGAAGACAUGGACCUUGCUCCUAUGGAGUUUACAGUCUGGGAGGGUAGAUGGAUAUUUAUUAAUCACAAAAUCACCUGAAUAAAUGUAAAAUGACAACUUUGGUAGCUCUUACAAAAGAAGACAGAUAUGCAAGUGUGAACCCAUGACAAGGAAACCAACACUGUCUUCCCCGAGAAGUGGUGUUUGCCCUGAGGUGAAGAGGGAAUAUGAUUUAACUCAGGCAGGGCAUGGGGUGAAAAGAGAAGGACAUUUCAGGCAAAAAGAGCAACAUUUGCAAAUAUUCUAUGGCAGGAGGGAGCAUGGUACCUGAGGGGGGCUAAGGAAAAGUCAGUGUGAUUUGAGGUUGGGGAACAAUGGAGAGCCACUGAGGAGUUUCAAGCAGGGGAAGAAGUAAAUAGAGUUUUGGCAAGAUCAUUCUGGUUGCAAUGUGGGGUGUGGAUUGUUAGGAGACCAGGAUGGAUGUGGGGACAUCAGCAAAUAGGCUAUGUCAGAAGAGAUAGUAGGAAGGGGCUAGAUUAGGGCAAGAGUAGUGGAGGUGGAGAGAAGGAAUAAAUGUAAAGACAGUUACAACAUACAAAUGAUAGGAUGCUGACAGGUAAGGGGCAGAGAGAUUUCCUCAGAUUCUGGUGUACAUGAGGGUGCUAUUCAUCAGGGUGAAGAAACCCUGGGAAAGAACUGGGUUUGCUGGAGAAGCUCAUGUUUGCUUUUGGGCUAUUGCAUGUGAUGAGCCAAGGAAGUAGCUGAAUAUGUGAGUCCGGGGCUCAGAGGAAAGUCUGGAAUAGUAUAUGUACAUAAAUGUGGUGAGGUAGCCACAGGCAUGGGUGAGAAGAUGAGGGCCAAGAAUCCAACUUUAAGGAUCAAUAACAUUUAGUGCUAAGUAGAAGAGAAACCAAGGAAGCAAUGGUCAGAGGGAAAAAAGGAAACCAGGAAAGUGAAGUAUCACUGAAGCCAAGGAAAGAAAAUAUUUCAAAAAAGCAGGAGUGGCCAACAGUGUCAAAAGUAUGCCUAGAGAUGAGGCCAACAAAAAGCCUACCAGAUGUUGAGAAAUCCAUGGUUUAGUUAAUUUGACAUUGGAUCUUGGGGAAAUAAUGAUAUAAUGGUCCCUGGAGAAUGAGCUAGAUAUGUACUGUUGAGGUUUCCUCUCCUCCAUGAACAUGUCCCCUUAGAUCACAGAGAGGGAAGAUUACAGAGAUGACCCACUGGCAUGAAAAGCAGCAAAGUCCAUGCAAAUCAGGCUUUGGAGGCAGACAUCAGGUUGAAAUUCUGACUCACACUAUAUAGCUUGAGUAGAUAUCUUUAACUUCCAUCAUUUUCCUUUCUUUAUGUAUAAGACAAAGGUACAGGUAGUUGUGAUUAAAGAGAAAUAAAUUAAAAUUCUAGAAAAGUACCUGGACCACAGUAAAGGUUAAUAAAAAUUGUUCAACCAGUAAAUAAUGAUGACUUCAAGCUAGGAAAUGAUGAAGAAAUAUGAAUUUUAGCAGGAUGACUAUAUAUAUGUAUAGAUAAAAAUACAUAUAAAUAUGUAAAUAUGUACACAUAUAUACAUGAACAGUUUCAUAAUUGGAUGAAUGACUGCAAAGGAUAAUCACUUCUGUCACCUUAAAAGGGAGUUUCUAAUAGUGUGCCAUAGAGUUCUGUCCUCUGCUUCAGGUACUUUAACUUUUCCGUUAAUGUCUUUGAUGAGAAUAUAACAAAAAAUUUGUGAAGUGUAUAGAUAAGAUGAUAUGAACAUGGAAGUGAUAGUAAAUAUGUCCCAUGACAGAAUAAGGAGUGAAAACAAAAAUAAAUGGUCUGAAUGUGAUCAGAUAAAAAUUUAACAAAUGUAAGGACACAGUUCUACUCUUGAGUCAAACCAACUUCACAGAUUAAUCACCAUGCAAUUCAUGCAGGUUUUUGUAAGAGAUUUAGAGUUUAACUGGACUGUCAUUUCAAUAUACAGCCAUGGGGAGAGAUCACUGCCAAAAAAGCUGUGGCAGACAAGCUUGUAACCAACAUAAUCCACGUAUCUGUCGUCUUUUUGGGAACCAGACUCUAUUUCCCAACCUCCCGUGUGACUGUUUUGCUAGUGGAUUAUGAAAAGAAGUGAUAUGGGUUACCUCUGGGUCAAGGUAGUUAAGAGCUCUAAGCCUUCUUCAUACUCUUACUUUUCCCUCGACUUAGGGCUGGAACCAGUAGGGAACACUGAGUCUCUAGGAGGUGCCAACAUCUGGGUUCAUGAAAGACUCUGUGGAGCAGAGUCCCUCUCCAGCCUUUCCCUCUUGACCCGUGACCUCAGUCAACUGAUAAAUGAGCAAAAAAGAAAUCAUUAAUGCAUUAAGUCAUGGAGAUUUGAGGAUUGUUACCAUGGUGACCAUAAUUAUUCCUAGCUAAAAACAACCACUAAAAGUAAAAACAAAAAAAGUCUUCAGUUAUAUUAAUAGAACUAUGGUGCCCAGAUUAAUAAGAAAUGAUAUUCCAGAAGACACUCGUCCAGGAAGAUGCUAAACGACUUGACCAAAGUUUCGUAGCCUGUUAGCAGAAGUGUAGGCCACAUCUGUAGCAUAUUUAGUUUUUGGCUUCACACAAGAAGAAAUGGACACACUGGGGGAGUUCUUGGCAUACAGUCGGCACUUAAUAAAUAUCUGUCAAGUGAAUAAAUAUUGACAUGGAUAGGUUCAGUGGAAUGACCACAGGAGAGAUGAUAGCAUGAAUCCAGGUCCUAUUAAGUGUGGCUGGAGAAACUGGGAUUAUCCAGCUGGGAUCCAAAGAGACAGGAUAGGUAUCACAAACUAUUUUAGGAACUAUUUUUUGGAAGAAGGAUUGGAUCAGUUCUCUGGGACCCCACGAAGUAAAACUAGUACAAACAGGCCGAAGUUACAGUAAGACAUUUCUGUUCACUGUUUUGGCUUUGGAACAUAUGGAAGUCGCUCAUCAGUUUAUCCAAAGGAGAAAUGGCCCCUUGUAGCAUCGGAAUUGUUUAAGCAAAGGGUGAAUGACCAUCAGUUGGGGCUACUAUGGAGGGGAUUCAAGCACUGGAUGGAAUGCUGGAUAAGAUGCUUCUUAAGACUCCUUAUAGCCCUAUGACUUAUGCUCACAUGGUUCCAACUUAAACCUGAUUUAGAGAUAAUGUUAACAAAGGCAUUUAACACAGAGUCCUGUGGUGGGCCAUGCAUGACUUGUCUAUAGGGAGAGAAAAAGUCACUUCUAUCUUUCAAAUAAUUGCCAUGAUUCUGUGCCUUAUAGGACAGGGAUUAUUAACGUCUUCCACUAUCAUCUCCAAGUUGUUAAAUGUGACUCUGCCUGGUAAUUUUCUGUCAUGAAAACAAUAUUUACAGGAGGGCUUUUAAAACAAGUGGUCCUGAACCAUUGCAGAGAAUUUUACACUGAAACUUGGCUGAUUUGAAGUCUAUUGCCACAUCAAGUUGUGUUGUACUGUGUGCUCAUAAAAUGCCAGGAUCUCUGCCGAUUACAGACGCCUGCAAGAAGAUUCCAUUCCAAGCUGUUAAAGUGCUGCAGUCAAUAAAGACCUGGAGUAUGAGUCUACCUCUGUGCACCACACAGCUGUUGUCAUGCAAGCUAUUUCAAAUACCACUCUGGCAGACAAAGCUCUAAUUUGAGAGAAACACCAGAUAGUUCCACCUAAUAUAAUGAAAUCAGCAGGACUCAAGGCUCUUCACAGUCUCCUCAUUUGCUCUGCUAACAAAGGUUUUGCUGUUGUUCAGGAAGCACUCAUAUUCCCCCAGAAUGUGUUGAGUUCUUUGCUGGGCACGAGGGAUGCGAAGGUAUGUAUGACACUGAAGCCUUGCCUUGGAGGAGCUCACAGUCUAGAGAUGCUGAGAGAUUUAUCUGAAGGCUUAAUUCUGGGCUUAGAAAGAAUUUGAGGGUAGAUUAAUCAGGAACAUCCUGUGAACAGUUACUUAGCUUUGAUUAUCCAUUUCUUGAAUGUUUCUCUUUCUUGAAUAUAUUGUCUUGGACUGUGAAUCCCAUAGAUUUUUAUGUAGCUCAUUUGGGCACAGAAAAAACACUUGAAGUCCAAAGACAAGCCUUCCUUUAUUCAUGUUUCCCAGUGGGAUGCUCUGCAUCUUGGGUAUAUGUAUUGAUUUUCUCCUCACCGAGUGUUCCUUCCAUAUUUAAAAACAUUUGCAGCUGCUAAGGACUGAAUUGUGUCCCUUAAAAAUUCACUUGCUGAAGUCUUAACCCAUAGUACCUUAGAAUAUCAGUGUUUGGAGAUAGAGCGUAAAGAGGUAAUUAAGGCUAAAUGAGGUCAUAUGAGUGGGCCAUUGUUCUUAUAAGGACUCGUGUCCUUAUAAGAAGAGAAAGAGACAUCAGGGAUAUAUGUAUGCAGAGAAAAAGCCUGUGAAGACACAGAAGACAGUCAUCUGCAAACCAAAGAAAGAGGCCUCAGGAGAAACCAAACCUGCCAACACCUUGAUCUUGGACUUUCAGCAUCCAGGACUCUGAGAAAAUAAAUUUCUGUUGUUUAAGUCACCCAUCUGUGGUAUUUUGUUACAGCAGCCUGUAUUAGUUCAUUCUCACACUGCUAUAAAGGACUGCCGGAGACUAGGUAAUUUACAAAGAAAAGAGGUUGAAUUGACUCAGAGUUCCAUAUAGCUGGGGAGGCCUCAGGUAACUUACAAUCAUGGCAGAAGGGAAAGCAGGCACGUGGUGUCAGGUGAGAGAGAGUUUGCAAGAGAGAGCAGGGAAAACUGCCUUAUAAAACCAUCAGAUCUUGUGAGAACUCACUCACUAUCAUGAGAACAGCUUGGGGGAACCUUGCCCCCUGAUCCAAUCACCUCCCACCAAGUCUCUUCCUUGACUCGUGGGGAUCAUGUGGUUUACGAUUCAAGAUGAGAUUUGGGUGGGGACACAGAACCAAGCCACAUCAAGUCCAAGGAGACUCAUACAACAGCUACUUGUGCUUUAUUUUUGGUAAAGAUGCCAAAUUGAGCAGUUAUCACCAAAUUCUUCUCCAGAUUCUGUGCAUGGUACCUCCUGGCCCCCAACCACUCUUUCUGUCUCUAUAACC